RNAcentral lists this long non-coding RNA (849 nucleotides) under Bos taurus (domestic cattle). RNAcentral describes it as "long non-coding RNA NONBTAT026020". Lineage: Eukaryota; Metazoa; Chordata; Mammalia; Artiodactyla; Bovidae. The record is from RNAcentral.
CACUUUUUCCAGUUGGUUUAUUGCACGUCAUGUACAGUCAUAUGUGGUUCUCCAUUCACAUACGAUUUGGAAAGACCUAUUUCAACUUUUCUCUGUAUAUACAAUUUCCAUAAGUUCUAAAUGUUUCAUACACACCACUACAAUAUAAGUCAUAAACGAUGUAUUUGGUAAUCAAAAUUUCUCAAUAACAGCACUUUCAAAAAGAUAUGUACUUUUUACUCUGGGAGCUGCGCUUUGUCUGCAGUGCGGUGUCUGCCAUGAAGGGACAGCGACACUGUAAGCGGUGAGAAGCCCACGCUGUGCUAUUCGCUGCACCCACCGGCCACGUCUCCUGUGAACUGACACUUCCUCCUCCUCUGCCAGCCCCCUGCAAUUAGUGCAGCAGAAAGACAGAAAGGAGAGUUCUACACUUGGGUGAACCAGUUUGAUUCAGCAUUGAGUACCAGGGAGGCAUGUAAUUUUGUUAUGUGUCUUCAUAGCAAAGGCAUAGGUAAUAUGUUAAGAGAAACCACAGAUAAAAUUACAUGUGUGUACCAUAUGAAUAUUUCUAAAAGUAAAAUUAUCUAUAAAAUGAAUCCUUUUUCCAUUUUAAAUAAAAUAGAAACUUUUGAAGAUGUUUAAAAACUACAUUUACUUAGAAACUUUAUGAGUCUAAAAAGUUCUCUGGAUAAUUUUUGCUAUUAAAUAAUGGAUUAUAAUCCAACAAUACGUUUCACUCUACUAAAAAUCACUUGCUGGUAACCCUCCAAUUGCUAAUUGUUACCAAGACAUAACAGACACCUUAUUUCAAACACACAAACCCCUCCCCCUCAAAAUGGAGAAACUUUAGACUGUCAUUUAUAAAUGUUA